RNAcentral lists this ribosomal RNA (465 nucleotides) under uncultured bacterium. Its description in RNAcentral is "partial 16S ribosomal RNA". It matches the Rfam family "Bacterial small subunit ribosomal RNA", at positions 338 to 795 of the family's 1533-position model. The record is from RNAcentral.
CCUACGGGCGGCAGCAGUGGGGCAUAUUGCGCAAUGGGCGAAAGCCUGACGCAGCGACGCCGCGUGAGGGAUGAAGGUCUUCGGAUCGUAAACCUCUGUCAGCAGGGAAGAACGGUCACUGUGCUAAUCAGCAGUGAAUUGACGGUACCUGCACAGGAAGCACCGGCUAACUCCGUGCCAGCAGCCGCGGUAAUACGGAGGGUGCGAGCGUUAAUCGGAAUUACUGGGCGUAAAGCGCUCGUAGGCGGUAUGUCAAGUCAAGGGUGAAAUCCCCGCGCUCACAGUGGGAACUGCCUUUGAAACUGGCAAACGUGAGUGUGUGAGAGGAUAGUGGAAUUCCAGGUGGAGGAGUGAAAUCCGUAGAUAUCUGGAGGAACAUCAGUGGCGAAGGCGACUAUCUGGCACAUAACUGACGCUGAGGAGCGAAAGCGUGGGUAGCAAACAGGAUUAGAUACCCUUGUAGUC